RNAcentral lists this ribosomal RNA (551 nucleotides) under Pseudoplatystoma reticulatum. RNAcentral's name for it is "partial 16S ribosomal RNA". It matches the Rfam family "Bacterial large subunit ribosomal RNA", at positions 1810 to 2571 of the family's 2925-position model. The record is from RNAcentral. Lineage: Eukaryota; Metazoa; Chordata; Actinopteri; Siluriformes; Pimelodidae.
AAAACAUCGCCUCCUGCAAAAAUCAAUGUAUAGGAGGUCUUGCCUGCCCAGUGACAAGUUUAACGGCCGCGGUAUUUUGACCGUGCAAAGGUAGCGCAAUCACUUGUCUUUUAAAUGAAGACCUGUAUGAAUGGUGGAACGAGGGCUUAACUGUCUCCCCUUUCAAGUCAAUGAAAUUGAUCUGCCCGUGCAGAAGCGGACAUAUAAAUACAAGACGAGAAGACCCUUUGGAGCUUUAGAUACAAGAUCACCUAUGUCAAGGACCACAAAUUCAAGUCAAACUAAAUAGCAACCUGAUCCUAAUCUUUUGUUGGGGCGACCGCGGGAAAAAACAAAGCUCCCACGAGGACUGGGGCAACAACCCCAAAACCAAGAAAGACAUCUCUAAGUCACAGAACAUCUGACCAUAAAGAUCCGGCUAUACGCCGACCAACGGACCAAGUUACCCUAGGGAUAACAGCGCAAUCCCCUUCCAGAGUCCAUAUCGACAAGGGGGUUUACGACCUCGAUGUUGGAUCAGGACAUCCUAAUGGUGCAGCCGCUAUUAAGGG